Molecule: ribosomal RNA, 269 nt
Filed under: uncultured bacterium
Lineage: Bacteria
Description: partial small subunit ribosomal RNA
Rfam family: Bacterial small subunit ribosomal RNA
Source: RNAcentral
AGAAUCAACGCUGGCGGCGUGCCUAACACAUGCAAGUCGAACGCGAAAGCCCCGAAAGGGGCAAGUAGAGUGGCAAACGGGUGAGUAACACGUGGGUGACCUGCCUUCGAGCGGGGGAUAACGUCCCGAAAGGGACGCUAAUACCGCAUGACAUCCUGCCUUUGAAGAGGUGGAGAUCAAAGCUGGGGAUCGCAAGACCUAGCACUCGAAGAGGGGCCCGCGCCUGAUUAGCUAGUUGGUGGGGUAACGGCUCACCAAGGCGACGAUCA